RNAcentral lists this unclassified non-coding RNA (363 nucleotides) under air metagenome. RNAcentral's name for it is "partial contains small subunit ribosomal RNA, internal transcribed spacer 1, and 5.8S ribosomal RNA". The stretch from base 1 to 46 matches the Rfam family "Eukaryotic small subunit ribosomal RNA", at positions 1786 to 1831 of the family's 1831-position model. The record is from RNAcentral.
AAGUCGUAACAAGGUUUCCGUAGGUGAACCUGCGGAAGGAUCAUUAUUGAAGCUUGAAUCGUAGCAUUGAGAACUGUUGCUGACCUGUGAAAGGGUAUGUGCACGUUCAAUGUGUUGCGUUUUAUUCUUUUCCCCCUGUGCACGUUUGUAGACUUGGUUAGUUUUUCGCUGUUGAGUGGUUAGAAGGGGUUGCUUUCUAGCUCCCUUUAUUUUCACUCUGAAGCGGUUAGAAGGGUUGCUCUUGAGCUCCCUUUGUGUACCAAGUCUAUGUCUAUAAUCUCUUGUAUGUCUAGAAUGUCUUGUUUAUGGGACGCAAGUCCUUUAAAUUUUAUACAACUUUCAACAACGGAUCUCUUGGCUCUC